Molecule: long non-coding RNA, 296 nt
Filed under: Mus pahari (shrew mouse)
Lineage: Eukaryota; Metazoa; Chordata; Mammalia; Rodentia; Muridae
Description: lncRNA (MGP_PahariEiJ_G0004589.1)
Source: RNAcentral
AGAGUUCGCUCCAGUCUCCCCUGAGGAAGUGCUGGUCAGGCGCUGGGUCCCUGGCUUCCUGUCUGUACUCUCCCCAGCCUGUGGGGAAAUCCCGAGAGCUUUGUCGGCUGCCCAACGAGCCUGUUGGUUUUUCAAGUUCAUUCACUGUGGCUUUUAGAAGCAGUCAGGCAGACAGACGCUCAGAGCCAGAUGUGUAACUUUUUGCUGCCAGCUGCACCGGCUUCCCAUUGCCUUCCUUUUACCCCCGGAAGCAGAGACUAAAAGCAAGAAGCAGGCUUGCAUAUGUGAAAUGUGAA